UACGGAGGGUGCUAGCGUUGUUCGGAAUUACUGGGCGUAAAGGGCGCGUAGGCGGCCGUUUGCGUCGGAUGUGAAAGCCCGGGGCUCAACCUCGGAACGGCAUUCGAUACGGGACGGCUAGAGACCGGGAGAGGAGAGUGGAAUAGCCAGUGUAGAGGUGAAAUUCGUAGAUAUUGGCUGGAACACCGGUGGCGAAGGCGGCAUCCUGAACCAACACUGACGCUGAGGAGCGAAAGCCAGGGGAGCAAACGGG
RNAcentral lists this ribosomal RNA (253 nucleotides) under uncultured bacterium. RNAcentral describes it as "partial 16S ribosomal RNA". It matches the Rfam family "Bacterial small subunit ribosomal RNA", at positions 524 to 776 of the family's 1533-position model. The record is from RNAcentral.